AGGGUUUGAUUAUGGCUCAGAUUGAACGCUGGCGGCAGGCCUAACACAUGCAAGUCGAGCGGAUGACAGGAGCUUGCUCCUGAAUUCAGCGGCGGACGGGUGAGUAAUGCCUAGGAAUCUGCCUGGUAGUGGGGGACAACGUUUCGAAAGGAACGCUAAUACCGCAUACGUCCUACGGGAGAAAGCAGGGGACCUUCGGGCCUUGCGCUAUCAGAUGAGCCUAGGUCGGAUUAGCUAGUUGGUGAGGUAAUGGCUCACCAAGGCGACGAUCCGUAACUGGUCUGAGAGGAUGAUCAGUCACACUGGAACUGAGACACGGUCCAGACUCCUACGGGAGGCAGCAGUGGGGAAUAUUGGACAAUGGGCGAAAGCCUGAUCCAGCCAUGCCGCGUGUGUGAAGAAGGUCUUCGGAUUGUAAAGCACUUUAAGUUGGGAGGAAGGGCAUUAACCUAAUACGUUAGUGUUUUGACGUUACCGACAGAAUAAGCACCGGCUAACUCUGUGCCAGCAGCCGCGGUAAUACAGAGGGUGCAAGCGUUAAUCGGAAUUACUGGGCGUAAAGCGCGCGUAGGUGGUUUGUUAAGUUGGAUGUGAAAGCCCCGGGCUCAACCUGGGAACUGCAUUCAAAACUGUCGAGCUAGAGUAUGGUAGAGGGUGGUGGAAUUUCCUGUGUAGCGGUGAAAUGCGUAGAUAUAGGAAGGAACACCAGUGGCGAAGGCGACCACCUGGACUGAUACUGACACUGAGGUGCGAAAGCGUGGGGAGCAAACAGGAUUAGAUACCCUGGUAGUCCACGCCGUAAACGAUGUCAACUAGCCGUUGGGAGCCUUGAGCUCUUAGUGGCGCAGCUAACGCAUUAAGUUGACCGCCUGGGGAGUACGGCCGCAAGGUUAAAACUCAAAUGAAUUGACGGGGGCCCGCACAAGCGGUGGAGCAUGUGGUUUAUUUCG
RNAcentral lists this ribosomal RNA (950 nucleotides) under uncultured Pseudomonas sp. Its description in RNAcentral is "bacterial SSU rRNA". It matches the Rfam family "Bacterial small subunit ribosomal RNA", at positions 8 to 953 of the family's 1533-position model. Lineage: Bacteria; Pseudomonadati; Pseudomonadota; Gammaproteobacteria; Pseudomonadales; Pseudomonadaceae. The record is from RNAcentral.